GGCAGCAGGAAAAGGAAGCUGAGGGGAAGAAGCUCUGGGGGAAGGGCAGUCCAAACCCUGCAUUGGAGAGUUUGGAAUAGACGGUUGGGUACGCCAGCCAUACCAUAAAACAGGAGCACAUGUUCGUGAGGAACCUUUCUUCUUCUUCUUCUAAAACUGGAGUAAAUAGAAUCUGAAAGUUUGCACUCACGAAGAGUAAUGGGGACUGGGAGUGAAGCCCAAUGGUUAGAACUUGCCUCACAAUGAACGAGGCUUUG
Molecule: long non-coding RNA, 257 nt
Organism: Microtus oregoni (creeping vole)
Lineage: Eukaryota; Metazoa; Chordata; Mammalia; Rodentia; Cricetidae
Exons: 3
Source: RefSeq, a predicted model, not a curated record